GGUUAAGCGACUAAGCGUACACGGUGGAUGCCCUGGCAGUCAGAGGCGAUGAAGGGCGUGCUAAUCUGCGAUAAGCGCCGGUAAGGUGAUAUGAACCGUUAUAACCGGCGAUWYCCGAAUGGGGAAACCCAGUGUGACUCGUCACACUAUCAUUAACUGAAUCCAUAGGUUAAUGAGGCGAACCGGGGGAACUGAAACAUCUAAGUACCCCGAGGAAAAGAAAUCAACCGAGAUUCCCCCAGUAGCGGCGAGCGAACGGGGAGGAGCCCAGAGCCUGAAUCAGCAUAUGUGUUAGUGGAAGCGUCUGGAAAGGCGCGCGAUACAGGGUGACAGCCCCGUACACAAAAGCGCAUGUGCUGUGAGCUCGAUGAGUAGGGCGGGACACGUGGUAUCCUGUCUGAAUAUGGGGGGACCAUCCUCCAAGGCUAAAUACUCCUGACUGACCGAUAGUGAACCAGUACCGUGAGGGAAAGGCGAAAAGAACCCCGGCGAGGGGAGUGAAAAAGAACCUGAAACCGUGUACGUACAAGCAGUGG
Molecule: ribosomal RNA, 536 nt
Filed under: Salmonella enterica
Lineage: Bacteria; Pseudomonadati; Pseudomonadota; Gammaproteobacteria; Enterobacterales; Enterobacteriaceae
Description: partial 23S ribosomal RNA
Source: RNAcentral